Molecule: ribosomal RNA, 466 nt
Filed under: uncultured bacterium
Lineage: Bacteria
Description: bacterial SSU rRNA
Rfam family: Bacterial small subunit ribosomal RNA
Source: RNAcentral
UGGGCUUGACAUCCCACGAACCUGCUGAAAGGCAGGAGUGCCCGCAAGGGAGCGCGGAGACAGGUGGUGCAUGGCUGUCGUCAGCUCGUGUCGUGAGAUGUUGGGUUAAGUCCCGCAACGAGCGCAACCCUCACCCCUUGUUGCUACCAGGUAAAGCUGGGCACUCUAGGGGAACUGCCCCGGUCAACGGGGAGGAGGGUGGGGAUGACGUCAAGUCAUCAUGCCCCUUACGUCCUGGGCUACACACGUGCUACAAUGGCCAAUACAAAGGGCUGCAAACCCGCGAGGGCAAGCCAAUCCCAAAAAAUUGGUCUCAGUUCAGAUUGUAGGCUGCAACCCGCCUGCAUGAAGGAGGAACCGCUAGUAAUCGUGGAUCAGCAUGCCACGGUGAAUACGUUCCCGGGCCUUGUACACACCGCCCGUCACACCACGAAAGUCUGCUGUACUCGAAGUCGCUGAGAAUCUC